UGCAUUUGCUGCCUUCUCUGUGUUACUUGGACUAUUUUUUUUGUUGUUCAGGCUUGUUUACUUGCCUUCCCAGCUUCUUUUUAAUGACUCUUGUUCCCUUUUUGUGUUUGGAAAUAAGCGACAACAGCUGUCCGCGAACCUACAGGGCAUCAGACGCUUGCAGUGCUGGUGUAACUAACCUCCCGAGUUGCUCUGCUGAGUGGAGGACAGAGAGUCCACGGUGGAGGAUGUUUCAGAGGAAGAUCUCCUCAGGUACAUCUUCAAAGAGAACACGGAGGAAGAGGGGUUGUCACUCUCUCUUGGCCGCUGGGCGCCUGUGUCUCUACUGGACUCCCCAGGCUCGGUUCCUGAAGAAGCAUCUAAGCUGCCAUGAGCGGUCUACAGAACGUGCCUGCCGGGGAUGAGAUUCAGAUGAGGAGCCCAGGAGCGACGCCCACAAUCCCUAACUGCCCAAAGCCACAUCCUGUCCAAAAGGAAAAGACUUGCACUUUCUCCUCAGGAGGAACACAGGCAUUAAUGUGAUCUCAAUUACCCAUAAAGCUGUCGUGCAGCAGCACUCACACCUCGCAGCCUCAUUCAGCACCGGUCACAUCCUGCCGUACACAUGCGCUUUAACUUUAGCUUAUCUGAUGGCUGCCUUGGAAAGUUUUGAGGCCUCCAGAGCAGGAAGCAAACAAAACUCCUGAUGUGCCGUCACGCCAAACCAAUUUUUCAACGCUGAGUAGCCUCAGUGGAGUUUAUGAGUUCAUUUCUGAGACUGACAAAUAUGAGGGGGGAUGAAAAGGCAUUAAGAAUAAGCAGAGCAACCUUAGCCCUUCCAGGCGCACACUCAGAGGCCAGAGAGUAACAGGUAAACUCGGGGGAGGGUGGUUAAGCCCUAGUUAGGCAUGUAAAUCCCACCCUUUACAGGCAAAGCGCUCCAGUAGAUCCCUGUCAAUUUCCUGCAGCUGUGCUUGGGCGGAUUUACAUGAAUACACUCUAUCACUAGCGCUUAGCCUCCUGUGUUAUGCAUUUACUCACUUUUGGGUGGGUUCUAAAAUUGGUUAUUUUCUGUUUUACUUUUUUGUCUUCUGUAGAGAAAGAACGGUUUUAUUUACAAGCCACCCAGCAUAGCUUCUUUUGUAAAUUGACUCCUCAGUUUUGUCCACGAGCCAGGCACAAGAAGGUUAGCUGGCUGUUUCCUGAUAAGCUGGCAGAACCUAUCAACCCCGGCAAGAAGAUAGUGCUCUGUAUUUCUGUCAUGCUUUAUCAUCAGCUGGGGUGAAACUAAACCGGUGUUAAGCGAGAGUAGAGGGACCAUUUCCCUGGAUUACAGGCGUCAACUUUAAUUUCAAAGACCAAUGGUGUAUCCAGGGAAGGUGCAGGCUUCGUUUGCCACAGAUUGGCAGCAGGCUCCUGAUAAGGACCCAGUGGCGUUGUUCGCAUUCACCACGGGUGCCUAUUGAUCUCCGAGCCGCUGGUUCAUUUCAUAAAAUACAAGGCAAAUGGUGUUAGAGCGGCAGUAUGGCUCCCUAUUCACCAGACACGCUGCGUCCUGUGCCAAGCUGUCUCAGCUCUGUGCUGUGGCGAACAGGAAACGCACCGCAGGAAGACAGAGUAUUUGUCAGUAGUCAUUAAGGAAGGAGGUGACAGUUCAAGCUUUUUGCUCAUGGAAUACAGCACAAUGAGCUUCAGAGGAAAGAUGCUUUUUCUUUACAACAAAAGCUGAGUGAGGUUACAAACGAAGUUUUAUUCAGAGAAUUCUUCCAGCUCAGCUUGCGAGGCUCUCAGUGGUCAGACUGUACCUGAGCUGAAAGCAGAGCUAUCAUUUGGAGUAUCAGUGAGAUGAUCGCCAUCUGAGAGUAAAAUUCAUAUCAACAUAUUGAGCACUUAUUCAGAUUGAAAUGUCUCCCUCCUUCUCUCUUUUUUCCAAACUAAAUUUAUGAAAAGCAUAAUCACAACAUGAGGGCCCUCUUAUUUUAUUAUCAGUGGGUGUUAUUAUUAGAAAACCAUUUCAAAUGAUAUGUCACAUGGGAACAAAUAUCAUUUACAAACCACUAAUGACUUGCAAACACUCCUCUAGCCUCCGGUGCACAAUGACGCUGUCUCACAGUGUGUGCUCUGUUCGUCUCUCCACGGAGACGUGCGGUGGGACACUGCACGCCUUCAGAAUCAAACAGAAUAAAUAGGAAGACUUCUUUCUUUCAGCACAGGCCAUACAGUGGCAAUAACAUUAAUUCUUAAAAAAAAUCAGCCAUUUAAACCUGUCAUUACCAUGGCUGCCUAAUGGUUUUAAGGUGUGUGUUUGUUGCAAAAAUUCAAAUGAGACACUAAAAUAUGUACAUAUUCUCUGCAGAGAUGGAUUAGGUUUUGGAUAUUAAUAAUUAAGCAGGCAUUAUUAUUAUUACACUUUGCAUCUUCUGGGUGGAUCAAACUCACCUCACUGCUGGACUGCUAAUAAUGAGUCAUCAAUAAAACAUUCUCAUAAUGUCAGAAAGACACUUGUGUAGACGCACGGUCUAAUUUUACACGGGCUGACUUGGUCAUUAGUUCACUAUGGCGUGAAUGCUCCGCCAUGCAAAACACAGAGGAGGUUACAGAGGUGGCCUGAUGUGGCCUGACAGUUGGUGCAUCAAGCCGCUCCUUCAUUAAUGUUAAUCGUCUUGAAAUUGUGAAUAACCAAAUCACUGCACCUAUAUGCAAAUAUUUAAAGCAUUUUACUUUUUAAUGGAAAAUGUGUUUUUGUUUCUGGCACUGUCAUUUGCAUAGUAAUAGUGUCUAUUGUAUUGUGUUUCUCAAGCCUCAAACUGGCCUUGGUGAGCACUGGAUAGUCGACUAUGCUUUGAUCGGAGCUUUAAAUGAACAGAUGAAGGCUGCAGCACGCACGGAGAAAAGUCAUAUGUAAACUCUGAGUUAAAGUUUCCCUCUUCAGAUCAGAAAUUAUGGAGGCUGUUGGCUUGAAACCUUCCAAAAUUUCGCAGAGUUGUAAUGAGAAACUAAGAAAAGCACAGACCAGAGGGGGAGAGCUGACUUUAUUGCCACCCAGACAUUAUAACUUAAUGCAAAUUGUAACUAGUUAAGCACAGCAAAAUAAUAUGAUACCAUUGUCUGCAGCAGAUUGAUAUUAUAAUGUUAGCAUGUGCAAAUAAUCACAUUUUCUCCCUGAUACAAUUACAUUAUUUGUUAUGGUUGUAUCAUACACCAAUAAAAGCAAACAUCAUAUUAGGAUUCAUGGCACUUUUCGCAUUGCAUUAUCAAUAUGUGGAAAUAAUUGUCUGCUGAGAGAUUAAAUUACAUUAUUGUGUAUCUUUUUCAUGCCUAAUAAAUAAUGAUGGAUGGCUCUUAUUUUCAUCACCACC
This is a long non-coding RNA of Scatophagus argus, 3338 nucleotides long. RefSeq lists it as uncharacterized. The record is from RefSeq and is a predicted model, not a curated record. The transcript has 3 exons. Lineage: Eukaryota; Metazoa; Chordata; Actinopteri; Scatophagidae.